CGGGCUUGCUCGGAAAUUAGUGGCGAACGGCUGAGUAACGCGUAGGUGACCUACCCCGUAGUGAGGAAUAACUGCCCGAAAGGGUAGCUAAUACCUCAUGUUGAGACGCUUUCAUCAGCGUCUCCAAAGCAGCAAUGCGCUAUGGGCGGGGCCUGCGUUCGAUUAGCUAGUUGGUGAGGUAAUGGCUCACCAAGGCGACGAUCGAUAGGUGGUCUGAGAGGACGAUCACCCAGACUGGGACUGAGACACGGCCCAGACUCCUACGGGAGGCAGCAGUAGGGAAUAUUGCGCAAUGGGGGAAACCCUGACGCAGCAACGCCGCGUGAGUGAGGAAGGUCUUCGGAUUGUAAAACUCUUUUGCUAGGGAAAAAUGACCUUGUGGCUAAUAUCCACGAGGAGUGAUGGUACCUAAAGAAUAAGGACCGGCUAACUUCGUGCCAGCAGCCGCGGUAAUACGAAGGGUCCAAGCGUUGUUCGGAAUCAUUGGGCGUAAAGCGCGCGCAGGCGGGUCAGCAAGUCAGAUGUGAAAUCUCGAAGCUCAACUUCGAAACUGCGUCUGAAACUGCUAGUCUAGAGUGUCG
RNAcentral lists this ribosomal RNA (581 nucleotides) under uncultured bacterium. RNAcentral's name for it is "bacterial SSU rRNA". It matches the Rfam family "Bacterial small subunit ribosomal RNA", at positions 75 to 651 of the family's 1533-position model. The record is from RNAcentral.